Eptesicus fuscus (big brown bat) is the source of this 80-nucleotide non-coding RNA. The record is from RefSeq and is marked provisional. Lineage: Eukaryota; Metazoa; Chordata; Mammalia; Chiroptera; Vespertilionidae.
CUGCGGUUCUCGGGUGACUCACCCUGGAACCAGAGAAGAGGGAGCCCAAUUCCGGGAUGUGUCACCUGAGAACUGUCCGG